This 283-nucleotide unclassified non-coding RNA is filed under the name plant metagenome. RNAcentral's name for it is "partial contains small subunit ribosomal RNA, internal transcribed spacer 1, and 5.8S ribosomal RNA". The record is from RNAcentral.
UUUCCGUAGGUGAACCUGCGGAAGGAUCAUUAUUGUAUAACCGAGGUGCGAGGGCUGUCGCUGACCCGAAAGGUCGUGCACGCCCGAGUGCCCUCACACACAUCCAUCUCACCCCUAUGUGCACCACCGCGUGGGUCCCCCUUUGGCUUGUUCGGAGGGGGGCUUACGUUUUCACACAAACUUUGUAUGCAGUGUAGAAUGUAUUUUUUGUUUUUGCGAUCACGCAAUCAAUACAACUUUCAACAACGGAGCGCGGGGCUCUCGCAUCGAGGAAGAACGCAGC